Leptinotarsa decemlineata (Colorado potato beetle) is the source of this 1721-nucleotide long non-coding RNA. NCBI's taxonomy places the organism in Eukaryota, Metazoa, Arthropoda, Insecta, Coleoptera, Chrysomelidae. The record is from RefSeq and is a predicted model, not a curated record.
AGUAUCAUUGAUUUAUGUUAUUGGGUAUUGUUUUCGUCAGUUUUACAGUAUUUUGCAGUCAAAUAUAUUACGAAAAUAUUUUUUUUCAAAGCUAAACGUCUCCUGGCAUUAUUACUUUCAAAAUUAUGCCUGGAAGUAUUCUUAAUUCACAAACACAACAAUUUGUGUUGAACUUGUGCAAAUAUUUUGAAAGGGAGAGAGCGCAUGGAGGACCUUUGUUACCAUUUUCAUCUGUUCAAGAGAGAGUUGCAGAUGCACUUGAAAUAUCUCAAAAAACGGUGUUCAACAUCAAACAAAGAAAUAAACACAAACCCAUUACAUCAUUUCCAGAAAAAAGUAGUCAUCGUAUCAAAAAGAAAACAUCUGAUUUACCUGAAGGGCAGAAAAUGGAAGUACGAAAUACUCUGUACGAUAUGUAUAAAGACAGUACCUGCGUUUUCUGGUGGUGCAACAUCAUGGAGUGUGGGCUGCUGAUAUACUGCCCGCUGCAGAGGUGACGAAGGUAAUCCAGUAUUACCUUCCGCCAUAACAUGUGGAAGUUGUAAAUUGUUACCUUGUUCAACUUUUGAAGCAUUUCCUUAAAAAAGCCUACCAGCGCCUUCUCUGCCACCCUGUGAUGUCUGUUGCUGGUUGUCGUGAAGAGAUGAAUGUUGUCCUUUGCUCUGGAGUUGAUAUGGUGGUGUUUUCUCCAGAACCAUAUUGGCCAGGAACCAAAACUAUCGGGCCUCGAGAUGGAGCUAAGAUGUAAAAGAUCGGUUGUAUAUUCUCAGGGUCGACGCGAUUACCGAGGAUUUGUGGGUUCUUGAAAUGAAAGUCUUUGGAUUUCCUUAGCCACUGUCUGUUUAUUCAACCAGCUGAGUUAUUCCGGAACUUUAGAUUGAUAAAGGAAACAGUAUUCACAAAAAAUACAUAUUUUUACAAAUGGAAAACACAAUUGCCACAAUACAAAUUUCAUAUGAAAAAAUUUGGGAAAUUACAAGAUUACAUAAUUUGGUUAACGUAGCUACAAAAAAUACGGGUACAAGCCAGAAUCUUCAAGAUUUUGCUAUAUUUAUACCAGAGGUGUUUCUGUAUGAGAAAUCAGCACUAAAAAGCACUCGUAGAAUCAGAUAAUUCCGUUCUGGUAUUCAACUAGUUUUUGCAAUUCGAACUUAAAAUCAUUUUUCCACCAGAGUAGAAUACGUGGCACCCUCUAUCAAUGAGAGCAUCAGAAGCGCAGUACCAGCGUAAAGGAAAUAAUUUUCUUUUGCAAUCACAAUCACACAUCAGUCGAACUAGGCAAUCAUAAAUAUAUGAAACAUUUAUAGACCGGUUAUACUUCCGGCUAGAGCAAUAUAAAAAAGAUCUGCUACACUUUUCGCCUUCAUUGUUGUAGUAACGAGCCAAGCUGCAGCUUUUUUCCCAAAUUCAGCGUCUUUCGAUUCAACGCGUUCCGAAGCUUCAUUUUCCAACAUUUUAUCAACUCCGUGACGAUGUUAUGAAGAGCUGUUUUGAGAGUAUGCAAUAUCGUGUUCUCUACAGGCCUCGUCUAAUGGAUUUACACCGGUUUCACCUAGUGAAAGACGUUCUCGUAGUUUCGUACCGGAACCGCAAUAUUGAUAGCCUGGUAAGUGUAAUUCGCAUGGCAGCUUAUUACUAUUAGCGUAUUGACGAAACCUUCUCCGCGAUAAGUCAACAUGAGGAAUGAUGGAUGACGUCAAUGCGCACGCUACAUAUCAAAG